AUCGCUUCUUGGUCUUUUGGCUAAGAUCAUGUGUAGAAUCUGUUCUUACCAGUUUAAUAUGCUGAUAUAUCCUCUAUCUGAGGACAAUACAGUAAAUGGAUUUUUUGAGCAGGGAGAUGGAAUAGGAGCUUGCUCCAUCCACUCCACACACCCACCUGGUAUUGCAGUACCUCCAGGAAUGGUGUAACCCUC
This is a small nuclear RNA of Cercocebus atys (sooty mangabey), 192 nucleotides long. Its record names the gene U2. It matches the Rfam family "U2 spliceosomal RNA". From Rfam's summary of the family: U2 is a small nuclear RNA (snRNA) component of the spliceosome (involved in pre-mRNA splicing). Complementary binding between U2 snRNA (in an area lying towards the 5' end but 3' to hairpin I) and the branchpoint sequence (BPS) of the intron results the bulging out of an unpaired adenosine, on the BPS, which initiates a nucleophilic attack at the intronic 5' splice site, thus starting the first of two transesterification reactions that mediate splicing. Lineage: Eukaryota; Metazoa; Chordata; Mammalia; Primates; Cercopithecidae. The record is from Ensembl.